This is a long non-coding RNA of Mya arenaria, 545 nucleotides long. RefSeq lists it as uncharacterized. The transcript is spliced from 3 exons. The record is from RefSeq and is a predicted model, not a curated record. NCBI's taxonomy places the organism in Eukaryota, Metazoa, Mollusca, Bivalvia, Myida, Myidae.
UUUACUUUAAAACGCUUCUUGCAUUUCAGAUAUAGGCGAGUGUGCGGUCAAGGUCAAAAUUGCGAGAGGGUGAUUCGAAGUGAAAUACCGCAACAAAAACGUUCGAUUUGUACAUUAACGCGUCUAACUGAAUGAGUCACAAUGUUUCUACCACAAGAGUUGUAAAUAUUGAAAAACUGAGAUAAAAACUGCAAAAAAUGGCCACCAACAAUAAUGGGCCAGGACUGAGGAGUUCCAAGAAAUGAGAGUGUGGCAACAAGUAAAUGGACCUUGACAAAUGUCCUCUAUGUUAGAGCCAGUCCCUUACACAAGUGACCUACUUUUGCACAGCUGAGGUUGUUAUCAAACGCAGCAGUAGGUAUGAAAUGCGGAAACUGUUCCAACUUGAUCUUCAACAGUUGAGUUACUCCUCAUCACAAUACCUGAACUGAAAACAAUCGGUGACGAUCCUGCACUUCACUUCUACCUCACAGUGCUCUUCCCUAUAAACGCUAGAGGAAAGUUUGAAAAUGAAAAACUUGUCAUUGCAAGAAAGGACCAAUUGA